UGCAUUCGACGAACCCAAAUCUCCUCCACCACCAUCUCCCUCACCUCCAUACUACUACUAUUCACCACCUUACAAAUACUCCUCACCACCUCCACCACCUUACAAGUACUCAUCGCCUCCUCCACCACCUUACAAAUACUCAUCGCCUCCUCCACCACCUUAUAAGUACUCAUCGCCUCCGCCACCAUACAAAUACUACUCGCCACCUCCACCGCCCUACUAUGACCAUCCGUAUUAUUAUGAUCACUCUCCAUCUCCACCGCCUUAUAAAUACUCCUCACCUCCACCGCCAUAUAAGUACUACUCACCUCCACCACCUUACAAGUACUCAUCGCCUCCUCCGCCAGCAUACAAAUACUCAUGGUAUUCUCCGCCGCCAUACAAAUACUACUCGCCUCCUCCACCUCCCUACUAUUACAAGUCUCCACCUCCACCACCCUACUAUGACCAUCCUUAUUAUUAUGAUCACUCUCCAUCUCCACCGCCUUACAAAUACUCCUCACCUCCUCCACCUUACAAGUACGCCUCCCCUCCACCACCAUACAAAUACUCCUCGCCUCCUCCACCUCCCUACUAUUAACACUUCCGCAUACCCCUCUCCACCACCUUAUAAGUACUCCUCACCUACUCUACCAC
This 636-nucleotide long non-coding RNA is filed under the name Elaeis guineensis (African oil palm). RNAcentral describes it as "long non-coding RNA (EGUI_LNC025832)". The record is from RNAcentral. Lineage: Eukaryota; Viridiplantae; Streptophyta; Magnoliopsida; Arecales; Arecaceae.